GCAAGUCGAGCGGACAGAAGGGAGCUUGCUCCCGGAUGUUAGCGGCGGACGGGUGAGUAACACGUGGGUAACCUGCCUGUAAGACUGGGAUAACUCCGGGAAACCGGAGCUAAUACCGGAUAGUUCCUUGAACCGCAUGGUUCAAGGAUGAAAGACGGUUUCGGCUGUCACUUGCAGAUGGACCCGCGGCGCAUUAGCUAGUUGGUGGGGUAAUGGCUCACCAAGGCGACGAUGCGUAGCCGACCUGAGAGGGUGAUCGGCCACACUGGGACUGAGACACGGCCCAGACUCCUACGGGAGGCAGCAGUAGGGAAUCUUCCGCAAUGGACGAAAGUCUGACGGAGCAACGCCGCGUGAGUGAUGAAGGUUUUCGGAUCGUAAAGCUCUGUUGUUAGGGAAGAACAAGUGCGAGAGUAACUGCUCGCACCUUGACGGUACCUAACCAGAAAGCCACGGCUAACUACGUGCCAGCAGCCGCGGUAAUACGUAGGUGGCAAGCGUUGUCCGGAAUUAUUGGGCGUAAAGGGCUCGCAGGCGGUUUCUUAAGUCUGAUGUGAAAGCCCCCGGCUCAACCGGGGAGGGUCAUUGGAAACUGGGAAACUUGAGUGCAGAAGAGGAGAGUGGAAUUCCACGUGUAGCGGUGAAAUGCGUAGAGAUGUGGAGGAACACCAGUGGCGAAGGCGACUCUCUGGUCUGUAACUGACGCUGAGGAGCGAAAGCGUGGGGAGCGAACAGGAUUAGAUACCCUGGUAGUCCACGCCGUAAACGAUGAGUGCUAAUUGUUAGGGGGUUUCCGCCCCUUAUUGCUGCACCUAACGCAUUAAGCACUCCGCCUGGGGAGUACGGUCGCAAGACUGAAACUCAAAGGAAUUGACGGGGGCCCGCACAAACGGUGGAGCAUGUGGUUUAAUUCGAAGCAACGCGAAGAACCUUACCAGGUCUUGACAUCCUCUGACAACCCUAGAGAUAGGGCUUUCCCUUCCGGGACAGAAUGACAGGUGGUGCAUGG
This 1009-nucleotide ribosomal RNA is filed under the name Bacillus sp. (in: firmicutes). Its description in RNAcentral is "bacterial SSU rRNA". It matches the Rfam family "Bacterial small subunit ribosomal RNA", at positions 57 to 1048 of the family's 1533-position model. The record is from RNAcentral. Lineage: Bacteria; Bacillati; Bacillota; Bacilli; Caryophanales; Bacillaceae.